AGCGAACGCUGGCGGCGUGCCUAACACAUGCAAGUCGAACGUGAACGGGCUUCGGCCCUAGUAAAGUGGCGUACGGGUGAGUAACGCGUAGGUAAUCUACCCUAAAGUUUGGAAUAACCGGCCGAAAGGCUGGCUAAUACUGGAUAGAGCGACGGGAUCCGUAAUCGGAUCUUUCGGGAAAGGGAGCUCGUUAAGAGCCCUCGCUUUAGGAUGAGCCUGCGUCUCAUUAGCUAGUUGGCGGGGAAUGGCCCACCAAGGCUUUGAUGAGUAGCUGGUCUGAGAGGAUGAUCAGCCACACUGGAACUGAAACACGGUCCAGACUCCUACGGGAGGCAGCAGUGGGGAAUCUUGCGCAAUGGACGAAAGUCUGACGCAGCCACGCCGCGUGAGUGAUGACGGCCU
This 402-nucleotide ribosomal RNA is filed under the name uncultured bacterium. Its description in RNAcentral is "bacterial SSU rRNA". It matches the Rfam family "Bacterial small subunit ribosomal RNA", at positions 29 to 417 of the family's 1533-position model. The record is from RNAcentral.